AAAUUGAAGAGUUUGAUCAUGGCUCAGAUUGAACGCUGGCGGCAGGCCUAACACAUGCAAGUCGAACGGUAACAGGAAGCAGCUUGCUGCUUUGCUGACGAGUGGCGGACGGGUGAGUAAUGUCUGGGAAACUGCCUGAUGGAGGGGGAUAACUACUGGAAACGGUGGCUAAUACCGCAUAACGUCGCAAGACCAAAGAGGGGGACCUUCGGGCCUCUUGCCAUCAGAUGUGCCCAGAUGGGAUUAGCUUGUUGGUGAGGUAACGGCUCACCAAGGCGACGAUCCCUAGCUAGUCUGAGAGGAUGACCAGCCACACUGGAACUGAGACACGGUCCAGACUCCUACGGGAGGCAGCAGUGGGGAAUAUUGCACAAUGGGCGCAAGCCUGAUGCAGCCAUGCCGCGUGUAUGAAGAAGGCCUUCGGGUUGUAAAGUACUUUCAGCGGGGAGGAAGGUGUUGUGGUUAAUAACC
RNAcentral lists this ribosomal RNA (471 nucleotides) under Salmonella enterica. Its description in RNAcentral is "bacterial SSU rRNA". It matches the Rfam family "Bacterial small subunit ribosomal RNA", at positions 1 to 468 of the family's 1533-position model. The record is from RNAcentral. Lineage: Bacteria; Pseudomonadati; Pseudomonadota; Gammaproteobacteria; Enterobacterales; Enterobacteriaceae.